UAAUCCUACGGGAGGCAGCAGUGGGGGAUAUUGCACAAUGGGGGAAACCCUGAUGCAGCGACGCCGCGUGAGCGAUGAAGUAUUUCGGUAUGUAAAGCUCUAUCAGCAGGGAAGAAAAUGACGGUACCUGACUAAGAAGCCCCGGCUAACUACGUGCCAGCAGCCGCGGUAAUACGUAGGGGGCAAGCGUUAUCCGGAUUUACUGGGUGUAAAGGGAGCGUAGACGGCGCUGCAAGUCCGGAGUGAAAGCCCAUGGCUUAACCAUGGUACUGCUCUGGAAACUGUGGAGCUU
Molecule: ribosomal RNA, 292 nt
Filed under: uncultured bacterium
Lineage: Bacteria
Description: partial 16S ribosomal RNA
Rfam family: Bacterial small subunit ribosomal RNA
Source: RNAcentral